Molecule: long non-coding RNA, 302 nt
Organism: Dendrobium catenatum
Lineage: Eukaryota; Viridiplantae; Streptophyta; Magnoliopsida; Asparagales; Orchidaceae
Exons: 2
Source: RefSeq, a predicted model, not a curated record
GUGUCUGCCAACAGAAUAAUCUCUCUUCAGGUUGAGAGGGAGCACUUGACGGCGUAACUAAUCCCUCGAUAGAACCUAGCGGUGCCACCCACCAACAUCGCAUCCACACUUGCUUUGCCCUCACUGAAGAGGCGAGGCCGUAGUAGAGGAGAUUUGAAUCCGGGAUGGGGGGUUCCCAACUGUGCUCGCCACCAACCAUCCUAAGCCUCGAUGGAUAUUUAUGUAUGUGACGUAUGUAUGAAUAUAUCUUCGUUAGCUCAAAAAUUAAAAAAUAAAAAGAUAAUAAUUGAGUGGAGUAUAAA